AUACGUAGGUGACAAGCGUUAUCCGGAUUUACUGGGCGUAAAGGGCGUGUAGGCGGUCUUGCAAGUCAGAAGUGAAAUUCCUGAGCUCAACUCGGGCGCUGCUUCUGAAACUGCAGGACUUGAGUGCUGGAGGGGAUAGCGGAAUUCCUAGUGGAGCGGUAAAAUGCGCAGAUAUUAGGAAGAACACCGGUGGCGAAGGCGGCUAUCUGGACAGUAACUGACGCUGAGGCGCGAAAGUGUGGGGAGCAAACAGGAUUAGAUACCCUGGUAGUCCACACUGUAAACGAUGAAUGCUAGGUGUAAGAGGUAUCGACCCCUUUUGUGCCGGAGUUAACACAAUAAGCAUUCCGCCUGGGGAGUACGGCCGCAAGGUUGAAACUCAAAUGAAUUGACGGGG
RNAcentral lists this ribosomal RNA (397 nucleotides) under uncultured bacterium. Its description in RNAcentral is "partial 16S ribosomal RNA". It matches the Rfam family "Bacterial small subunit ribosomal RNA", at positions 523 to 918 of the family's 1533-position model. The record is from RNAcentral.